Molecule: non-coding RNA, 72 nt
Organism: Aethalodelphis obliquidens (Pacific white-sided dolphin)
Lineage: Eukaryota; Metazoa; Chordata; Mammalia; Artiodactyla; Delphinidae
Source: the annotation of a RefSeq genome assembly
UCCCUGGUGGUCUAGUGGUUAGGACUCUGCACUUUUACUGCAGUGGCCAGGGUUCAAACCCUGGCUGAGGAA